Molecule: long non-coding RNA, 570 nt
Filed under: Callithrix jacchus (white-tufted-ear marmoset)
Lineage: Eukaryota; Metazoa; Chordata; Mammalia; Primates; Cebidae
Description: lncRNA (ENSCJAG00000051806.2)
Source: RNAcentral
UAUUGGUCUUACAUUCUGCACAGGGGCAUAACAAAUGUCUAUUCUGGGGCCCAGGCUUUAGGGAGUUCAGGAUUUUGUAAGAACACAUAUCCACACACCAUAAACAUACACUUAUUAAAGGAUAUGUGUGCUCUGAUGUUAUUCAGAAUCAAGGACUUAGCAGGGGUAGAGUCUGAGUCAUAACUCCAAAUGUUCCCUGCCAUAGCCAACAACAUUCCAGAAACCCGGGGGACAACCCUUCUCUAGGAGUUUUGCCCUAUGGCCUAGAAAUAAAAGACAACUGUGCUUCCAUAGCAUGAAAAUGUUUUGCAUGGAUAAAUAUGAAGAUGAACACUGCUUCGGAAAGCAAGCAGAAUCUGAACAGUAGAAACACACAGAAUGAAUCAUCGGAUUCUUUUUCACUUAUUUUCUUCCCUAUUGGACCAGAUAUCUUCUUUUUGCCCUUCCGUAAAGACUUCCCACCCAUCUCCCUGCUGCUCUUUGCCAUCGCAGGCUAACCUGUUUUGGCUGUUUUUUUUUUCUUCCUUGAAGAAGACCUGUUUUUUUCCAAGGUGGCCUACUUAAUGUAAG